Molecule: transfer RNA, 74 nt
Filed under: Candidatus Ghiorseimicrobium undicola
Lineage: Bacteria; Pseudomonadati; Candidatus Omnitrophota
Description: Candidatus Omnitrophica bacterium CG11_big_fil_rev_8_21_14_0_20_42_13 tRNA-Val
Rfam family: tRNA
About the family: Transfer RNA (tRNA) molecules are approximately 80 nucleotides in length. Their secondary structure includes four short double-helical elements and three loops (D, anti-codon, and T loops).
Source: RNAcentral
GGGCGAUUAGCUCAGUUGGUUAGAGCAUCUGCUUUACACGCAGGGGGUCAGGGGUUCAAGUCCUCUAUCGCCCA